Molecule: ribosomal RNA, 432 nt
Filed under: uncultured bacterium
Lineage: Bacteria
Description: partial 16S ribosomal RNA
Rfam family: Bacterial small subunit ribosomal RNA
Source: RNAcentral
AACGAACGCUGGCGGCAUGCCUAACACAUGCAAGUCGAACGAGACCUUCGGGUCUAGUGGCGCACGGGUGCGUAACGCGUGGGAACCUGCCCUUAGGUUCGGAAUAACUCCCCGAAAGGGGUGCUAAUACCGGAUAAUGUCUUCGGACCAAAGAUUUAUCGCCUUUGGAUGGGCCCGCGUUGGAUUAGCUAGUUGGUAGGGUAAAAGCCUACCAAGGCGACGAUCCAUAGCUGGUCUGAGAGGAUGAUCAGCCACACUGGGACUGAGACACGGCCCAGACUCCUACGGGAGGCAGCAGUGGGGAAUAUUGGACAAUGGGCGAAAGCCUGAUCCAGCAAUGCCGCGUGAGUGAUGAAGGCCUUAGGGUUGUAAAGCUCUUUUACCCGGGAUGAUAAUGACAGUACCGGGAGAAGAGCUCCGGCUAACUCCGUG